UAAUGUGGAACUCGCUGUUUGUCCAAACCUGCUCUCUCUACAUAAAGACAUGGGACGGGGACGCCACCAAACACAAACGCGCCACCGAUCACCUCGUGAACCUGCAGCUGCGGGCGGACUACUGGACUUUUACACCGCUUGGCACGCAGAGGCCCAGGAGACCGAGACACGACUUGUAUUAGUGCGAGAAGGAAGGAGCACAGAAAAGAGAGGAGCUGGGAGAAGCAGGAGCGGGAAGCCAACUGAUGGGCUAGAGUGACCGAGGAUCCACUUUAGAAACUAAAGGUUGUCCCGGGAACUAGCCUCUGCUGCGUCUCCACGGCAAACGAUCUCCUCCAGAGCUGUGGAGUGUGACAAUGGUGUUUGUGUACUGUGUAUCAAACGCCAUUCUCACACUAAAUAGCUACAGUGUGAAAAAGACCUCAGUGUGUUUCCCCGUAUCCUGUGCAAACUUUAUACAACCGUGUUGCUUUUGCAGAUUUAAAACAGCCUCCGAUUUGGCGAAGCAUGUAAACGGGUCCACAAGUGUCGUAUGGCGGCUGUAGCGUGGGACACGUUGCACCGAGAUGGAAAUAGACAGUGUGUUGAUGGGCCGUGCGUGAUCUCGAGCCUCUGAGUGUGACCUACUUUAUCUUUUAGUGUUUUUGGUGCUAAUUUGCCGCUGGACACCUUCAUUUAUAAACACAGAUGGGACAACAGCAGAUGAAUUUUAACAGUUGUAAUUUUGUAUUUUCACGAUUGCACAAUUGUUAUAUUGUAAUAAUUAAAAUUGUUAUAUAAACAGUUUUUUGUUUUGUUUGUCUUCUGCUAAAGUGCAAAUAUUUGCUCGUCCGCAAUAAACAGCACUUUGUGUGAACGUUUUAUAAACUCCUUCACCUCGGCCCAGUGCAGACACUCUGUCCAAGUCAUGUUCCAACACUCCCCCUACCCUUGGAACCUGCACGCUACUGGUCCCAUUAUAGAAAAAGGAAAAUUAAGAAACCACAAAGCAUUUUCAACCAGCAACCUCUCUUUAAUAACAAAGAUCCACAGAGUGCUUCACACACUAGUCACAUAGCCACAGCCUGAGAGCCAUGUCAACAGUUUGGGGCAGGGAUUUAAAAAGGCAACACUGACAUUAUAGGACAGGAGAGGCUUAUUGUAUAGUGGCAGUCAGAGACGUUAGUUGAAAAGCCGGGACGCUUUAUUGAGAUUACGCCGUCGAUUUGGCUGCGGCUGUCAGGUUACAGUGUGGUUUGAUAAUUGAUUAUUGGUUUUAGUUUUUCAAGCCUGAGCUGAACCAGAGCCGUGGAUCUUCAAAAUAAUGCCAGAAAUCAAUGCAACAAACAGAACUGAUAGUAAAAUGACAAAUGAAUAAAUCAGUUUAAGAAGAAAACCA
Long non-coding RNA from Limanda limanda (common dab), 1378 nucleotides. RefSeq lists it as uncharacterized. Lineage: Eukaryota; Metazoa; Chordata; Actinopteri; Pleuronectiformes; Pleuronectidae. The transcript has 2 exons. The record is from RefSeq and is a predicted model, not a curated record.